Non-coding RNA from Triticum urartu, 3111 nucleotides. NCBI's taxonomy places the organism in Eukaryota, Viridiplantae, Streptophyta, Magnoliopsida, Poales, Poaceae. The record is from RefSeq and is a predicted model, not a curated record.
UCGGCCUUAUGCCUGGUGUUUUGUUCCACUCUUGCCGCCCUAGUUUCCGUCAUACCGGUGUUAUCUUCCUUGAUUUUGCAUCCCUAACACGGUGAGGGUUUAUGGGCCCCGCUUGACAGUAAUGCGGUGAGCGUCUAUAUACUUGGUAAUGAUAUCCACCUUGCUAUGCGCUCGAAAUGCGGUUGUGCCCCAAUCAUGAAUUCAUCUCAUGAUUGGGAUAGAAUCGCAUCUUGGGUGCUACACAAGGUCCUAGAUACGGCAAGGUUGUGCACGCAAGAUUUACAAGUUCAGGCCCUUCUCGGAGGAAGUAAUAGCCCUAGUCUCAAUGCCCGGAGGCUUUGUCGACUAGAUUAUGCAUGAGAGUUACAGGGGGUGUGAACCCUUGUGCUAGAGGAGGGGUGGCUUAUAUAGAGUGUGCCAGCCCUCUCCAGUGCUCAGUUACACAGGUUUUAAUGUGGGUUAAUAUAGAGACGUUACUGAUAACGCCUGCUAUAAUGAUGAUUAAUGACCUUUAAGGCUAUGGAGUGAACACCUGACUGCUGCCAUCCAGAGGUGGCUUUAGAUCUUCUAUACUCCGAGUGGUUCUUCGUACGGUCGAGUGACUCUAUCUUGGUCGAGUGGAAUUGGGAUAUCUGAGUGAGAUAGCUGGUCGAGUGGAUUGCACUCCAAGGUGAUUUCAGUUGGUAUCUUCUAUUGUACUUUAAAUGAACUUGACUCUAGGGCAGUGUCCUUGGGUAGGGCGUCUAGGUCAGGCCUAUGACCCUACCCUAGGUACAUUUCAUCGUCAUUAUCCCUCGAAUGGAUUGAGGUCCGAGUGAAGAAGGGUUGAAGUUGGUCUCCGACUCGAUUCCAUGCUUCAGAUGCAUUUCACCGGAGUCUGGCAAUCAUGCUGAAGCUUCAACCUCAUUACAGUCACCUUGAUCAAUUCAGAGGUCGUCGAGUGAAUUAUGCUGAUAAUCUUCGCGGGCUAUUAUGGUGCGAAAUGUUCGACGUGAUUAGUUGCUCUAUGGUUCCCGAAUCUCACGGGAUUCGAAAUUUUGGAGAAGCGCGCGGGACGGAGCGUGCCGCAGUAAUCGGAGUGGGUAGACAGAGACGCCUUGAUCCUCGUGCUACCUUUUCGCCACGUAUCGGGAAAGCGACUGUUGCGGGUUACGAUAGGAUUACUUGGGCCCACACUAGGGUCUGUUUAAACACAUAUUUACUUGUCAUUCCCAGUUGGUGAAGAAGGCAAAUCUGAAUGACGAAAAGACACAUGUGAUCCAGAUGUGCGGGGGUUUAGGAAUUCAGACUAGGGGUAGAAGCACCUUUCCUUCCAUGACCCUUCCCGAGUCAGAUCGGGGAUGGCAGUCGACCUGGUUCUACUGCAAAGACAUCCCAACUCCUGGUCAGUCGACCGAUCUCCCCCUUUCACUAUGGAGCGACUUCGCCAAACUUCUUCAUUGACUGUGACCCCAGAGGAGAAAGGCGAGGUGUCUCUUUUAGUCGACCAGGUUAUUAACUUAGUCUAGGAGGGUGUGACGGGCAUGGAUCUGUUGGAGGUGUUCCUCAGUCGACGCAUCCAGCCUCUCCAAGCCCGAGAUCACCCGAUGUGGAUGUACCCGGGCCCUGAAGACACCGCUCGGGACCACCCAGAGGAGGUCGCCGAGGAGAUUGUGGCUCAGUGGCUGCGAAGCAUCACCGGAAACAAAGACAACCCCAGGGGGUCCAGGAGAGUUCAGCCAUUCGACAUCAACCAUGAGCCGGAAGAGAUUUAUACCAAGAUGUACUCGACGCUAAACGAGGAACAGCUCUAGGAGGGAGAGGAGAGCGCAGAUGAAAGCGCCGACUGGCAAUCCAGAGACGAUAGCGAAGAUGAGAGUGACGACUCGAGCAGCAGUGAGGAGGUUGACUCGCCGCCUCGCUCACAACAUCGUUCCAAACAAUCCCAAGAUCCUGCAGGUGGACGCGGCAAGGCAGUUCCACCAAGCACGCAAGUACCAAAGUGCACUCGGACUUCGACUCCAGAACCGUCGGAGAAGGCCGCUAAGAAGCCCAAGGUUGUCCCACCGAAGCCUCGGAAGGCCCUACCCAAGAUCAAGGUGGAUGUCCCUACUGCUUCUGUUGCUGCUACCUCUAGGACUUCCAUGGACAUUGACAAGGAGCACGAUGACACGGAAACUGCAGACGCAGCCACCUCUCAGGCAGCACCACAUGUUAUCCAACUUCCAAAUGAUGACGAUGAUGAAUAAGUGUCACGAAAGGAUACAGGGAGGAGGAGAAGAACUCUGAGCAAGAGGGUGCCUGCCAGCAAAGAAUCUCACUCGACAUCAGCAUCAGCCCCAGUCGAUCAACCACUUGGCGAUCCAGUCCAGACUUCUAUUUCUUUUGCUGUGCCUUUAUCGACUGACCAGCCCUUAGCGUCGACUGUCCAGGCUCUUACUCCGACUGUGCAAGUUCAAGCUUCACCUCCACCGGCUACGGCUCCACCGGCCACGUCAUUGAUUCCAUCAUCUCCUUUAUUUGUUACUCACCAUGUCCCAGAAGACCAAGUAGGAGCUACCAAGGACGCCAUGCUUCAAGCAGGUCUAAUGAUGGACCAACUGAAAGUGGUGUAUAACAACAGCAAGGCCGCCUAUGACGCUAGCUCCGCCCUCCAAGCCAAUCUCCGAAAAUCUUGUGAACUUGGGACCAAAUUUGCAUAUCUGGAGAAGAAGCAAAUCAAACUCAACCUCGAUCUGGAACUGGCCAAGAAGAAUCUGAAGAAAGCCCGGGAUGAAGCUACUGCCAUGGGAGAUGUGCGUAGUGAAAACCGUCAACUCCAAGCUCGAUUGAAGAAUGUUAUUUCUUUAGACAAAAUGAAGCAGGAUCUGGAGCAGAAGGGUCUUGACCUUGCAACGAUGUAGAAGACGGCGCGGGAGAAAACAGAACUUGCUGACAAGAAGCUGGCUUCAGUCAGAAAGUUGGAAGAAGAGAACGCCAAGUUGAAAACUGAUGUUGAUAAAGCGAAGAAGGACAUUGUGCAGCUGAAGGAGGAGAAGGUGGCCUUGGCGGACAGAGUUGAAGUUCUCACUCGGGAGAGAGAUGAACUGGAAACUUAUCUGGGGAGCCUUGCCAAGAAGAUGCUCCUCAUGC